This 450-nucleotide ribosomal RNA is filed under the name uncultured bacterium. RNAcentral describes it as "partial 16S ribosomal RNA". It matches the Rfam family "Bacterial small subunit ribosomal RNA", at positions 354 to 796 of the family's 1533-position model. The record is from RNAcentral.
GUGGGGAAUAUUGGACAAUGGGCGAAAGCCUGAUCCAGCCAUGCCGCGUGUGUGAAGAAGGUCUUCGGAUUGUAAAGCACUUUAAGUUGGGAGGAAGGGCAGUAAGUUAAUACCUUGCUGUUUUGACGUUACCGACAGAAUAAGCACCGGCUAACUUCGUGCCAGCAGCCGCGGUAAUACGUAGGGUGCAAGCGUUAAUCGGAAUUACUGGGCGUAAAGCGCGCGUAGGUGGUUUUGUAAGUUGGAGGUGAAAUCCCCGGGCUCAACCUGGGAACUGCCUCCAAAACUGCAUGACUAGAGUACGGUAGAGGGUAGUGGAAUUUCCUGUGUAGCGGUGAAAUGCGUAGAUAUAGGAAGGAACACCAGUGGCGAAGGCGACUACCUGGACUGAUACUGACACUGAGGUGCGAAAGCGUGGGGAGCAAACAGGAUUAGAAACCCCUGUAGUCC